CCGAGUUAUUCAACUCAUCAACCCUGUGAACUUACCUAAACGUUGCUUCGGCGGGAACAGACGGCCCCGUAAAACGGGCCGCCCCCGCCAGAGGACCCCUAACUCUGUUUCUAUUAUGUUUCUUCUGAGUAAAACAAGCAAAUAAAUUAAAACUUUCAACAACGGAUCUCUUGGCUCUGGCAUCGAUGAAGAACGCAGCGAAAUGCGAUAAGUAAUGUGAAUUGCAGAAUUCAGUGAAUCAUCGAAUCUUUGAACGCACAUUGCGCCCGCCAGUAUUCUGGCGGGCAUGCCUGUUCGAGCGUCAUUACAACCCUCAGGCCCCCGGGCCUGGCGUUGGGGAUCGGCGGAGCCCCCCCGUGGGCACACGCCGUCCCCCAAAUACAGUGGCGGUCCCGCCGCAGCUUCCAUCGCGUAGUAGCUAACACCUCGCGACUGGAGAGCGGCGCGGCUACGCCGUAAAACACCCAACUCUUCUGAACAACAGGGAUUGCCCCAGUAACGGCGAGUGAAGCGGCAACAGCUCAAAUUUGAAAUCUGGCUCUCGGGCCCGAGUUGUAAUUUGUAGAGGAUGCUUUUGGUGAGGUGCCUUCCGAGUUCCCUGGAACGGGACGCCAUAGAGGGUGAGAGCCCCGUCUGGUUGGACGCCGAACCUCUGUAAAGCUCCUUCGACGAGUCGAGUAGUUUGGGAAUGCUGCUCUAAAUGGGAGGUAUAUGUCUUCUAAAGCUAAAUACCGGCCAGAGACCGAUAGCGCACAAGUAGAGUGAUCGAAAGAUGAAAAGAACUUUGAAAAGAGAGUUAAACAGUACGUGAAAUUGUUGAAAGGGAAGCGCUUGUGACCAGACUUGGGCUUGGUUGAUCAUCCGGGGUUCUCCCCGGUGCACUCUUCCGGCCCAGGCCAGCAUCAGUUCGCCCUGGGGGACAAAGGCAUCGGGAACGUGGCUCUCUCCGGGGAGUGUUAU
Molecule: ribosomal RNA, 960 nt
Filed under: Fusarium sp. FRC S1959
Lineage: Eukaryota; Fungi; Ascomycota; Sordariomycetes; Hypocreales; Nectriaceae
Description: eukaryotic LSU rRNA
Rfam family: Eukaryotic large subunit ribosomal RNA (bases 429-960)
Source: RNAcentral